RNAcentral lists this unclassified non-coding RNA (299 nucleotides) under Boubovia luteola. RNAcentral's name for it is "sequence contains 5.8S rRNA gene". The record is from RNAcentral. Lineage: Eukaryota; Fungi; Ascomycota; Pezizomycetes; Pezizales; Pyronemataceae.
GAACGCACAUUGCGCCUUCUGGUAUUCCGGGAGGCAUGCCUGUCCGAACGUCAUCAAACCUCUCGCCAUGUGCUGUUGCUUGCAACGGUACGAAGGCGGCCCAUGGGAGAUGGAGGCCUCGCGGCCGCCCCUCCCGAAAUGCACUGGCAGACACCUGUUGGCCGAAUUGUGAUAAGUCUUUAUAACGAUUCCAAGCCUUCUUGUGGUCCCGCCGUCAACCGCACCUGCGCUCCACGGCGCACGCGUGCACAUCAACUCUUUUGACUUCGGAUCAGGUAGGGAUACCCGCUGAACUUAAG